ACUCAAAUGAAUUGACGGGGACCCGCACAAGCGGUGGAGCAUGUGGUUUAAUUCGAUGCUACGCGAAGAACCUUACCAAGGCUUGACAUCUCCGGAAUCUCUUGGAAACAGGGGAGUGCCUUUUAGGAACCGGAUGACAGGUGUUGCAUGGCCGUCGUCAGCUCGUGUCGUGAGAUGUUGGGUUAAGUCCCGCAACGAGCGCAACCCUUAUCGUCUGUUGCAAUUUCAGGCGAGACUGCCCGGGCCAACCGGGAGGAAGGUGGGGUCGAAGUCAGGUCAGCAUGGCCCUUACGCCUUGGGCUACACACGUGCUACAAUGGCCGGUACAAUGCGUUUGCCAACCCGCGAGGGGGAGCUAAUCGUAUCAAAACCGGUCUCAGUUCGAAUUGGAGGCUGAAACUCGCCUCCAUGAAGCUGGAAUCGCUAGUAACCGUAGGUCAGCAUACUACGGUGAAUACGUUCCCGGGUCUUGCACACACCGCCCGU
Molecule: ribosomal RNA, 486 nt
Filed under: uncultured bacterium
Lineage: Bacteria
Description: partial 16S ribosomal RNA
Rfam family: Bacterial small subunit ribosomal RNA
Source: RNAcentral